CCAUCCUGCUGGCUGUCUUGGCUUGUGCCAUAGCCGAUCGCAGCCUCUCCCAGCUGGAGAGGUUGUGCGGGGCUAAAGAGGAAGUGCACGGCUAUGGCACAAGCCAAGACAGCCAGCAGGAUGG
This is a non-coding RNA of Podarcis lilfordi (Lilford's wall lizard), 124 nucleotides long. Lineage: Eukaryota; Metazoa; Chordata; Lepidosauria; Squamata; Lacertidae. The record is from the annotation of a GenBank genome assembly.